Telopea speciosissima is the source of this 108-nucleotide long non-coding RNA. RefSeq lists it as uncharacterized. The transcript has 3 exons. The record is from RefSeq and is a predicted model, not a curated record. Lineage: Eukaryota; Viridiplantae; Streptophyta; Magnoliopsida; Proteales; Proteaceae.
AUGUAUUUGUUUAGUAAGAUUUCUAUGGCAAUAUAUAUUUUUUUGUUGCGCCAGAAUCACUUGAUUGUAUUUAAUCGGCAGAAUACAGGUAUAUAAACAGAACUUCUU